GCCGGGCGUGGUGGUGUGCACCUGUAAUCCCAGCUACUUGGGAGGCUGAGGCAGGAGAAUCCCUUGAACCUGGGAGGUGGAGUUUGCAGUGAGCUGAGAUGGCGCCACUGCACUCCAGCGUGGGUGACAGAGCGAGACUCUGUCUCAAAAAAAAAAAAAAGUGUAAUAAAAUACACAUAGCAUAAAUGUAUCAUUUUAACCCCCGUCUCCCAGGCUGGAGUGCAGUGGUGCGACCUUAGCCCACUGCAAUCUCCACCUCCCAGGUUCAAGGGAUACUCCUGCCUCA
Molecule: signal recognition particle RNA, 286 nt
Filed under: Rhinopithecus bieti (black snub-nosed monkey)
Lineage: Eukaryota; Metazoa; Chordata; Mammalia; Primates; Cercopithecidae
Description: Metazoan signal recognition particle RNA (ENSRBIG00000001041.1)
Rfam family: Metazoan signal recognition particle RNA
About the family: The signal recognition particle (SRP) is a universally conserved ribonucleoprotein. It is involved in the co-translational targeting of proteins to membranes.
Source: RNAcentral